AUGAAAACAAUGGAAUAAUUGUUAUAAUAACUGACAACCAGGAAAGUAGUUAUCUUCUGAUUACAAAGUAUCUUAGAAAUUACAUGCAGCAACUCUUCUUCCUUGCACAUAACACAAACUAUCAAGAAGACUUUUGAAAUGUUGGAGGUAUAUAAUUAGGCAAUCUGGAUAUCAUAUCAAAUUCAAACAGGCUGUGCAGUUCUGCAAUGCAUUAAAAGGAAAAAGUUCACCUUCUGGAAGAAAGACAUUACUGGAGUUGGAAUCAUCAUCAUAAUUUAUGUAUUACAUAUAAAAAAAGUGAUCACAGAAACUUAAAAUGGCCAUGUAUUUACAUGCCCACGUGUUGAUAUUGUUUAAAUUAAAAAAUAAAUGCACUUAAAAUUAAAUGCUAACAAAAAAUGCGAUGUCAAUUCACGUGACUUGUAAUUUUCAAGAAACUGAUUGUCCAACCGUUAUUAAAAAGUAAAAGAUUCUAUCUAGGACUCUAGGAACCAAAUAGGAUGAAAACUUGUCCACAAUAUCAGCGUUAUGACUACUAAAAUGCACUUUAAAAUACAACUUCGUAGGCAUUUAUAGGCUAAAAUGCACUUUUAGUCGUUCUUUUAUUCUGUUAUGCUUUUCUUUUUCUUGUUCAGAGAAAAGUAUAGGCAAGUAGGGUAUUAGCAAUAGCAUUUUAUAGUAACCAUGACCAACCCUCUUCAGUGCUCAAGAUAGCAUCUUGAACUAGAACUAUCUAACAGGUAUAGUUGAAGCCCGAUUAAAAUAAUGCAUGGAUUCCUUGGAAAAUAUGAUCCAUUGCAUACAACAACUUGGGGAAAAGGAAGAAUGAAUACUCAAUAUAAUCAUCAUAUGGUAGCUCAAACCUCGGAAAUGAUAAGUGAUUUCAUCGCCGAAGUGAUUGAUAAAAAGAGAAAUGGGCCAAACAAAUUUUUAAAAAUAAAUUUAUUUAGUAAUCAAAGUUGUUUCUUACUAGAGUACACCAGGACAUAUAAUAAAGUAGGUGACGCAAUUCUGUAAAAGGGGGAUAGACAUUGAAUCUAGAAGAAUAUAAAAACUGAAAUAACAAGAAUUAUCCUAAGAAGACUUUUGAAUAUGAUUGCAACCAAGAGAAAGGAAAAACAAACAAUAUCUAGGUAUCAAAUUUAUUUUUUUUUUUUUCCUUCUAAAGGUAUAUAACUACUUUUCAUGGGUGCAGCAGUUCUUCAUUUUAAUUGUAUUGGCACCCUCCAGUGUCUAGUGACUGUGAGCAAAGUUGACCAAAGUGAUUGCAGAAGAAGAAGAGGUCCAAUAAAAAAAAAAAAAUCUCUCCCACUUUGAAAGUUUAUUUGUAAAGAUUUUAUAUUGUAUUUGAUUUUAUUUAUCGGG
Camellia sinensis is the source of this 1365-nucleotide non-coding RNA. The record is from RefSeq and is a predicted model, not a curated record. NCBI's taxonomy places the organism in Eukaryota, Viridiplantae, Streptophyta, Magnoliopsida, Ericales, Theaceae.